This 428-nucleotide ribosomal RNA is filed under the name uncultured prokaryote. Its description in RNAcentral is "bacterial SSU rRNA". It matches the Rfam family "Bacterial small subunit ribosomal RNA", at positions 355 to 774 of the family's 1533-position model. The record is from RNAcentral.
UGGGGGAUUUUGGACAAUGGGGGAAACCCUGAUCCAGCGAUGCCGCGUGUGUGAAGAAGGCCUACGGGUUGUAAAGCACUUUAGGCGUGGACGAGAGACUACAUACGAAGAGUGUGUAGAGGAGACGGUACAUGCAGAAUAAGCACCGGCUAACUCUGUGCCAGCAGCCGCGGUAAGACAGAGGGUGCAAGCGUUAAUCGGAGUGAUUGGGCGUAAAGGGGGCGUAGGCGGUACGAGAAGUUAGAAGUGAAAUACCAUAGCUUAACUAUGGGAUUGCGGCUAAAACUGACGUACUAAGAGUAGAGGAGAGGGGAGUAGAAUUUCCAGUGUAGCGGUAAAAUGCGUAGAUAUUGGAAGGAAUAUCAGUGGCGAAAGCGACUCUCUGGACUCAAACUGACGCUGAGGCGCGAAAGCGUGGGGAGCGAACA